RNAcentral lists this ribosomal RNA (484 nucleotides) under uncultured bacterium. Its description in RNAcentral is "partial 16S ribosomal RNA". It matches the Rfam family "Bacterial small subunit ribosomal RNA", at positions 30 to 507 of the family's 1533-position model. The record is from RNAcentral.
AUUGAACGCUGGCGGCAGGCCUAACACAUGCAAGUCGAGCGGCUGCACGGUGCUAGCUUCUGGAUUCGGCGGCCGACGGGCGGGUGAUUCCUAGGAACCUGCGUAUCUAUUUUGUAUAACGUGCGAACACGGGCGCACUUACGCCAUACGUCCAGACGAAGAAAGGGGGGGAUCAUCGGACCUUACGCCAUCAGAUGAGUCGAUGUCGGAUUAGCUGGUUGGUGGGGUAAAGGGCUACCAAGGCGACGAUCCGUAACUGGUCUGAGAGGAUGAUCAGCCACACUGGAACUGAGACACGGUCCAGACUCCUACGGGAGGCAGCAGUGGGGAAUAUUGGACAAUGGGCGAAAGCCUGAUCCAGCCAUACCGCGUGGGUGAAGAAGGUCUUCGGGUUGUAAAGCCCUUUAGUUGGGAAGGAAGAGCAGUAGGUUAAUACCCCGCUGUUCUGACGGUACCCACAGAAUAAGCACCGGCUAACUUCGUG